GGUGUGCGAUCUCAUGAAGCAAAGAGCUAGUGCAUACUCUUCUGAGGCAGGAUGCUCGACUUGGCCGUGUUAUAAGCCCAUGAAUGCGAUGAACGUGUCGAAGUCAUAGAUGCAUAGGCUAGCAGACAAGCAUUCAAUUCAAUAGAGCUCGACCAGGAAAGCGACACUAGAUAGAUGAGCUUCUGGUUGAGAAUUUGGAGCUGUCACCAACAAUGCAGUCAACAUCCAAUUGUGCCUCUUAAAGA
Dioscorea cayenensis subsp. rotundata (Guinea yam) is the source of this 245-nucleotide long non-coding RNA. RefSeq lists it as uncharacterized. The record is from RefSeq and is a predicted model, not a curated record. The transcript is spliced from 3 exons. Lineage: Eukaryota; Viridiplantae; Streptophyta; Magnoliopsida; Dioscoreales; Dioscoreaceae.